This 132-nucleotide small RNA is filed under the name Enterobacter sp. RNAcentral's name for it is "RtT sRNA". It matches the Rfam family "RtT RNA". From Rfam's summary of the family: This family represents a bacterial cis-regulatory element known as RtT RNA. The exact function of RtT is unknown although it is thought that it may be involved in changing the cellular response in relation to amino acid starvation. The record is from RNAcentral. Lineage: Bacteria; Pseudomonadati; Pseudomonadota; Gammaproteobacteria; Enterobacterales; Enterobacteriaceae. RNAcentral also lists the same sequence under 1 other name.
UGCAUCUGAAGGUUAUAAGGAUGAGAGCCUCCGGGGAAGGAGGUUCGACUCGAGCGAAGCGAGAGAACGUUGCUUCAGCAACGGCCCGCAGGGCGAGUCACGAACUGACGAGUAGUCCUCUCUCGCCGACUA